AUAAGCCUGGGGAGUACCUGGAGAUCCAGUUUGAGGAACCUGUUGAGAUUACCUCCAUAACCACCCAGGGAGGAGGUGAUGAGGGUUUUGUGACCAGGUACAAGGUGGCGUACUCUGUAGACGGGGAGGAGUGGACAUUUGUCACUGAACCUGGGACUGAGGAGGGACAGGAACCAGUGGAUAAGCUUUUUGAAGGCAACACUGAUGGAACCACCCCAGUAACAACAGAGUUGUCAGAACCAGUGGAGGCCAAACUGGUCCGGAUCUUCCCUGAAG
Molecule: long non-coding RNA, 276 nt
Organism: Branchiostoma belcheri (Belcher's lancelet)
Lineage: Eukaryota; Metazoa; Chordata; Leptocardii; Amphioxiformes; Branchiostomatidae
Exons: 3
Source: RefSeq, a predicted model, not a curated record